GGGUCCCUACUUACGUAAGACGGGCUGUGGGUUGUCGACCUCCUUCAGCAUGGGGAUAUAACUGACCUCUUACUGAUAAAUAAACGUCCUAUACCACUGAGCCCCGGGUCGCGCCGUGACGGCGGACGCAGUUGUACUCCGGAUGCAAUGGUCAUCCGGAUUCUGUGGGUGGAAAAGGUCCUUAGGUGUAUCUGCUAGACGCUCAUGAUCUCUCUCACCUUCACUGCUAUAAUACUAUAGAAUCUGAAGGGCUAGAGUAUUGUCCAAUUAACCGGAAUAAUUAGUGUAUCUGGGAAAUAACUACAUAUGCCAUAGAACACCAAUGGGCAAUGACUGUCACUGAGCAACAACUGACACGGAUGGACAAAAGAUUAGAUACCCCAACAAGAUUAAUCCCCAGCUAGUCCUACCCGAUGUACGAACAUAUCUACCUGUGUGAAUAUGUCAAGUUUCACGAGACUAAGUAUACCGUGAGAAGAAUAUACGCUCGCAAGAGUACAAAUGCAAUAAAAAACUCAAA
RNAcentral lists this ribosomal RNA (520 nucleotides) under uncultured prokaryote. RNAcentral's name for it is "bacterial SSU rRNA". The record is from RNAcentral.